CACCGGCGGCUCGAGUGGUAACCGCUAUUAUUGGGUCUAAAGGGUCUGUAGCCGGCCUGGUUAGUCCCUUGGGAAAUCUGGCCGCUCAACGGUCAGGCUUUCAGGGGAUACUGCCGGGCUCGAGACCGGGAGAGGUGAGAGGUACUUCAGGGGUAGGGGUGAAAUCUUGUAAUCCUUGAAGGACCACCAGUGGCGAAGGCGUCUCACCAGAACGGAUCUGACGGCAAGGGACGAAAGCUAGGGGC
Molecule: ribosomal RNA, 245 nt
Filed under: uncultured archaeon
Lineage: Archaea
Description: partial 16S ribosomal RNA
Rfam family: Archaeal small subunit ribosomal RNA
Source: RNAcentral